Molecule: ribosomal RNA, 1475 nt
Filed under: Candidatus Pelagibacter sp.
Lineage: Bacteria; Pseudomonadati; Pseudomonadota; Alphaproteobacteria; Candidatus Pelagibacterales; Candidatus Pelagibacteraceae
Description: bacterial SSU rRNA
Rfam family: Bacterial small subunit ribosomal RNA
Source: RNAcentral
AAACUUGAGAGUUUGAUCAUGGCUCAGAACGUACGCUGGCGGCACGCCUAACACAUGCAAGUCGAACGAAGUAGCAAUACUUAGUGGCAGACGGGUGAGUAACAUGUAGGUAUCUGCCCUUUGGCCUGGAAUAACACGAGGAAACUUGUGCUAAUACCGGAUAAGUCUUUACGGAGAAAGCUUUAUGCACCAUUGGAUGAGCCUGCACUUGAUUAGUUUGUUGGUAGGGUAAUGGCCUACCAAGACUGUGAUCAAUAGCUGAUUUGAGAGGAUGAUCAGCCACAUUGGGACUGAGACACGGCCCAAACUCCUACGGGAGGCAGCAGUGGGGAAUCUUGCACAAUGGAGGAAACUCUGAUGCAGCGAUGCCGCGUGAGUGAAGAAGGCCUUUGGGUUGUAAAGCUCUUUCGUCGGGGAAGAAAAUGACUGUACCCGAAUAAGAAGGUCCGGCUAACUUCGUGCCAGCAGCCGCGGUAAUACGAAGGGACCUAGCGUAGUUCGGAAUUACUGGGCUUAAAGAGUUCGUAGGUGGUUGAAAAAGUUGGUGGUGAAAUCCCAGAGCUUAACUCUGGAACUGCCAUCAAAACUUUUCAGCUAGAGUUUGAUAGAGGAAAGCAGAAUUUCUAGUGUAGAGGUGAAAUUCGUAGAUAUUAGAAAGAAUACCAAUUGCGAAGGCAGCUUUCUGGAUCAUUACUGACACUGAGGAACGAAAGCAUGGGUAGCGAAGAGGAUUAGAUACCCUCGUAGUCCAUGCCGUAAACGAUGUGUGUUAGACGUUGGAAAUUUAUUUUCAGUGUCGCAGCGAAAGCGAUAAACACACCGCCUGGGGAGUACGACCGCAAGGUUAAAACUCAAAUGAAUUGACGGGGACCCGCACAAGUAGUGGAGCAUGUGGUUUAAUUCGAAGAUACGCGCAGAACCUUACCAACACUUGACAUGUUCGUCGCGACUCUAAGAGAUUAGAGUUUUCGGUUCGGCCGGACGAAACACAGGUGCUGCAUGGCUGUCGUCAGCUCGUGUCGUGAGAUGUUGGGUUAAGUCCCGCAACGAGCGCAACCCUCACUUUUAGUUGCCAUCAUUAAGUUGGGCACUCUGAAAGAACUGCCAGUGAUAAGCUGGAGGAAGGUGGGGAUGACGUCAAGUCCUCAUGGCCCUUACGUGUUGGGCUACACACGUGCUACAAUGGUAUCUACAACAGGAAGCAAGACUGCGAAGUUAAGCAAAUCCCUAAAAGAUACCUCAGUUCGGAUUGCACUCUGCAACUCGAGUGCAUGAAGCUGGAAUUACUAGUAAUCGUGGAUCAGCGUGCCACGGUGAAUGCGUUCCCGGGUCUUGUACACACCGCCCGUCACACCAUGGGAGUUGGUUCUACCUUAAGGCAAGGUUUUAAACCCUUGACCACGGUAUAGUCAGCGACUGGGGUGAAGUCGUAACAAGGUAGCCGUAGGGGAACCUGCGGCUGGAUUACCUCCUUU